CAUGAGAAAGAAAUUAACACACAAAUCAACAAUGCAAAUACGUAACCAGCUUAAGAGGAUGAUCAACAGUCAAGCAAUCAAUGCAUGAAGCUUUAACAAUAUAAUCUAUAUCAGGUUUAAUGCAUGGAUAAAAUAUCUUGGGAGAAGCAUUCUGUAAUUUGCCUUUAAGCUUUAUGACCAAUUUAAAAAGUGAAAUGGAACAAAGCAGAUAGACACUUCCUUGAAACUCACCUGAAGUGCAGAAAGGGCCACGGCACCACAGAGACAUAUAAGUGGAUAUACAGGGAAAAGAAAUCUCUCCUCUUUGUGAGGCUGGAUGAAGAAAAUCAGAAACCAAAUAUACAUUGGAGCCAAGGAUCAGCUCAAGGACCACCAUCUAUAAGAAGUCUUUUUGCUACCCCCACAUGGACUUAUUCCUAUGACUCCUUAUCUUUCUUCUGCAGCACAUAAUACACUAGAGUAUAAUUAUCUACUUGUGUGACUGCAGCCUUAUUGGACAGCAAAUUCUAUGAGGACACACAUGCUCAAAGCAAGGAAAGGCAGAGGGUGCUGGUGUUUUUCAGCCUCGUGAUGAUAAAAAUACAAUACUGUAAUAGAAAGCGACAUGAUGAAAAUAACAGCUCUACCACUUAGGAGUUCUUUGAAUCCCA
This is a long non-coding RNA of Canis lupus familiaris (dog), 650 nucleotides long. RefSeq lists it as uncharacterized. The record is from RefSeq and is a predicted model, not a curated record. The transcript is spliced from 3 exons. NCBI's taxonomy places the organism in Eukaryota, Metazoa, Chordata, Mammalia, Carnivora, Canidae.